CCUACGGGAGGCAGCAGUGGGGAAUUUUGGACAAUGGGCGCAAGCCUGAUCCAGCAAUGCCGCGUGCAGGAUGAAGGCCUUCGGGUUGUAAACUGCUUUUGUACGGAACGAAACGGCCCUUUCUAAUACAAGGGGCUAAUGACGGUACCGUAAGAAUAAGCACCGGCUAACUACGUGCCAGCAGCCGCGGUAAUACGUAAGGUGCGAGCGUUAAUCGGAAUUACUGGGCGUAAAGCGAGCGCAGGCGGUUAUAUAAGACAGAUGUGAAAUCCCCGGGCUCAACCUGGGACCUGCAUUUGUGACUGUAUAGCUAGAGUACGGUAGAGGGGGAUGGAAUUCCGCGUGUAGCAGUGAAAUGCGUAGAUAUGCGGAGGAACACCGAUGGCGAAGGCAAUCCCCUGGACCUGUACUGACGCUCAUGCACGAAAGCGUGGGGAGCAAACAGGAUUAGAUACCCUGGUAGUCCACGCCCUAAACGAUGUCAACUGGUUGUUGGGUCUUCAUUGACUCAGUAACGAAGCUAACGCGUGAAGUUGACCGCCUGGGGAGUACGGCCGCAAGGUUGAAACUUAAGGAAUUGACGG
Molecule: ribosomal RNA, 584 nt
Filed under: uncultured bacterium
Lineage: Bacteria
Description: bacterial SSU rRNA
Rfam family: Bacterial small subunit ribosomal RNA
Source: RNAcentral